Molecule: ribosomal RNA, 433 nt
Filed under: uncultured bacterium
Lineage: Bacteria
Description: partial 16S ribosomal RNA
Rfam family: Bacterial small subunit ribosomal RNA
Source: RNAcentral
AAUGAACGCUGGCGGCAUGCCUAACACAUGCAAGUCGAACGAAGGCUUCGGCCUUAGUGGCGCACGGGUGCGUAACGCGUGGGAAUCUGCCCCUUGGUUCGGAAUAACAGUUAGAAAUGACUGCUAAUACCGUAUGAUGACGUAAGUCCAAAGAUUUAUCGCCGAGGGAUGAGCCCGCGUAGGAUUAGCUAGUUGGUGUGGUAAGAGCGCACCAAGGCGACGAUCCUUAGCUGGUCUGAGAGGAUGAUCAGCCACACUGGGACUGAGACACGGCCCAGACUCCUACGGGAGGCAGCAGUGGGGAAUAUUGGACAAUGGGCGAAAGCCUGAUCCAGCAAUGCCGCGUGAGUGAUGAAGGCCUUAGGGUUGUAAAGCUCUUUUACCCGGGAUGAUAAUGACAGUACCGGGAGAAUAAGCUCCGGCUAACUCCGUG